GAUGAACGCUGGCGGCGUGCCUAAUACAUGCAAGUCGAGCGAACAGACGAGGAGCUUGCUCCUCUGACGUUAGCGGCGGACGGGUGAGUAACACGUGGAUAACCUACCUAUAAGACUGGGAUAACUUCGGGAAACCGGAGCUAAUACCGGAUAAUAUAUUGAACCGCAUGGUUCAAUAGUGAAAGACGGUUUUGCUGUCACUUAUAGAUGGAUCCGCGCCGCAUUAGCUAGUUGGUAAGGUAACGGCUUACCAAGGCAACGAUGCGUAGCCGACCUGAGAGGGGGAUAGGCCACACUGGAAAGGAGACACGGGGCAGACUCCUACGGGAGGCAGCGGUAGGGAAUCUUCCGAAAUGGGCGAGAGCCUGACGGAGCAACGCCGCGUGAGUGAUGAAGGUCUUCGGAUCGUAAAACUCUGUUAUUAGGGAAGAACAAAUGUGUAAGUAACUAUGCACGUCUUGACGGUACCUAAUCAGAAAGCCACGGCUAAAUACGUG
RNAcentral lists this ribosomal RNA (497 nucleotides) under uncultured bacterium. Its description in RNAcentral is "partial 16S ribosomal RNA". It matches the Rfam family "Bacterial small subunit ribosomal RNA", at positions 28 to 507 of the family's 1533-position model. The record is from RNAcentral.